AAGCACUCCGCCUGGGGAGUACGGUCGCAAGACUGAAACUCAAAGGAAUUGACGGGGGCCCGCACAAGCGGUGGAGCAUGUGGUUUAAUUCGAAGCAACGCGAAGAACCUUACCAGGUCUUGACAUCCUCUGACAAUCCUAGAGAUAGGACGUCCCCUUCGGGGGCAGAGUGACAGGUGGUGCAUGGUUGUCGUCAGCUCGUGUCGUGAGAUGUUGGGUUAAGUCCCGCAACGAGCGCAACCCUUGAUCUUAGUUGCCAGCAUUCAGUUGGGCACUCUAAGGUGACUGCCGGUGACAAACCGGAGGAAGGUGGGGAUGACGUCAAAUCAUCAUGCCCCUUAUGACCUGGGAUACACACCAGUGCUACAACGGACAGAACAAAGGGCAGCGAAACCGCGAAGUCCUAAGCCAAGGUACCCACAAAUAUGUUCUCAGUUCGGAUCGCAGUCUGCAACUCGACUGCGUGAAGUCCUGGAAUCGCAAGGUAAUCGCGGAUCAGCAUGCCGCGGUGAUCAUACGCUCACGUGAAGUCCUUGUACACAACGCCCGUCACACCGACGAGAGUUUGUAACACGGCUCAGUGAAGUCCGUAACAAGGUAACCGAC
RNAcentral lists this ribosomal RNA (606 nucleotides) under Bacillus velezensis. RNAcentral describes it as "bacterial SSU rRNA". It matches the Rfam family "Bacterial small subunit ribosomal RNA", at positions 862 to 1504 of the family's 1533-position model. Lineage: Bacteria; Bacillati; Bacillota; Bacilli; Caryophanales; Bacillaceae. The record is from RNAcentral.